RNAcentral lists this ribosomal RNA (253 nucleotides) under uncultured bacterium. RNAcentral describes it as "partial 16S ribosomal RNA". It matches the Rfam family "Bacterial small subunit ribosomal RNA", at positions 524 to 776 of the family's 1533-position model. The record is from RNAcentral.
UACGAGUGCCCCAAGCGUUAUCCGGAAUUAUUGGGCGUAAAGGGUGUGUAGGUGGCGAUGUUAGUCUUCUGUCAAAUUCUUCGGCUUAACCGGGGGUCUGCAGGGGAAACGGCAUUGCUCGAGGAUGCGAGGGGUGAAUGGAACUCAUGGAGUAGGGGUGAAAUCCGUUGAUAUCAUGGGGAACACCAAAAGCGAAGGCAAUUCACUGGCGCAUUCCUGACACUGAAACACGAAAGCGUGGGUAGCGAACGGG